Molecule: long non-coding RNA, 559 nt
Organism: Lycium barbarum (goji berry)
Lineage: Eukaryota; Viridiplantae; Streptophyta; Magnoliopsida; Solanales; Solanaceae
Exons: 3
Source: RefSeq, a predicted model, not a curated record
UUAGGUAACCACGAGGAAUAUUUGUGGACAAGUUUAGGGGCUAUCUAUGACUUUUGCCUAUAUUAUAUAUAAGGGAUAAAAAUAUUCCUUUAGCUAAGGGACCAUUUAAGUCUUUUCCUCUAUCUUUUCUUCAGUUUCUACAUUCUUAUUUCUCUCUCUAUGGCCCCUUGUCUCCGCUUUCUCCUCUUUCUCGAUUUCAUUUCUAUAAUUUACUUUUCUUAGUCUCAAAUUUCAUGACCUUCUUCCUCUGGCGUUCAUCUUAGCCUUUUGUGUUGAUGUUGUUGGAUUCCUUGAAAUUUUAUGAAAGUUUCAGUCUAAAGCUUAUCCCUUUCAAGGUCUGAGCAGUAUAACAAUGGAAGAUAUCAAUGGAGUUUGUCACGACCCGACUAGGGGCCAUGACGGGUACCCAGAGCUAACCACCGAGCACUACUCAUUCUAUUACUCAUCAUACUCCUCCGGCGUUCAUUCAUUAUUUUCAUGCUUAUAAUCAUAGGAAAACCAUUUUCACUUUGACACAUAUUUACCUUUAUAUACAUAAGCCCUUCGGCUAUCAACAUAA